AAGGCAGGUUGUCUUGUCGCUUGCUGCCCAGGCAGCAGGAGGAAAGUCCGGGCAACACAGAGCAGCAUACUUCCUAACGGGAAGCCAGUCCGCCCCAGGCGGGCUGCGAGAAAGGGCCACAGAAAACAACCGCCUGCAUUCCGCAUUGCGGGUCAGGUAAGGGUGAAAACGUGAGGUAAGAGCUCACGACCGCUACAGGUGACUGUAGCGGGGGGUAAACCUUAUGCGUUGAAAGGCCAAAUAUACCGGGGCUUGAGGGUAGCUCGCCCAAUCCCGGAGGGUAGGCCGUUAGAGCUGUUGCGCAAGCCACAGCCCAGACAAAUGACAGGGAGUCCGCUUCGGCGGAAUACAGAACCCGGCUUACAGACCUGCCUUUUCU
RNAcentral lists this RNase P RNA (379 nucleotides) under Bacteroidales bacterium. Its description in RNAcentral is "RNase P RNA component class A". It matches the Rfam family "Bacterial RNase P class A". From Rfam's summary of the family: Ribonuclease P (RNase P) is a ubiquitous endoribonuclease, found in archaea, bacteria and eukarya as well as chloroplasts and mitochondria. The record is from RNAcentral. Lineage: Bacteria; Pseudomonadati; Bacteroidota; Bacteroidia; Bacteroidales.